This 477-nucleotide ribosomal RNA is filed under the name uncultured bacterium. RNAcentral describes it as "partial 16S ribosomal RNA". It matches the Rfam family "Bacterial small subunit ribosomal RNA", at positions 30 to 507 of the family's 1533-position model. The record is from RNAcentral.
AUUGAACGCUGGCGGCAUGCUUUACACAUGCAAGUCGAACGGUAACAGGUUAAGCUGCCGAGUGGCGAACGGGUGAGUAAUGCAUCGGAACGUGCCCGAUCGUGGGGGAUAACGCAGCGAAAGCUGCGCUAAUACCGCAUACGAUCUGAGGAUGAAAGCGGGGGACCGUAAGGCCUCGCGCGAUCGGAGCGGCCGAUGUCAGAUUAGGUAGUUGGUGGGGUAAAGGCUCACCAAGCCGACGAUCUGUAGCUGGUCUGAGAGGACGACCAGCCACACUGGGACUGAGACACGGCCCAGACUCCUACGGGAGGCAGCAGUGGGGAAUUUUGGACAAUGGGCGCAAGCCUGAUCCAGCAAUGCCGCGUGCAGGAAGAAGGCCUUCGGGUUGUAAACUGCUUUUGUACGGAGCGAAAAGGCUCUCUCUAAUACAGGGGGCUCAUGACGGUACCGUAAGAAUAAGCACCGGCUAACUACGUG